Molecule: long non-coding RNA, 920 nt
Filed under: Mus spicilegus (steppe mouse)
Lineage: Eukaryota; Metazoa; Chordata; Mammalia; Rodentia; Muridae
Description: lncRNA (ENSMSIG00000025030.1)
Source: RNAcentral
GUGGAGUCUAGCUAGAAUGCCAGGAACUUGGGGCUCUGUCUGAGUUACUAAUAGUCACAGAACUAUGGAGUUGGGGGCUCUGUGGUGUCAGGCACCUAUCUCUGGGAACGUGGCUCACUGUUCUAUCCCUUUUAGAGUUUUCUUCUGGGUCUCCAGUGCAAGCUUUUCUCAACCAAAACAGCUGUCUUUCACGGUCCCACAGCAUACCACCUUGCUGGGAUCAAAAAGGGCUCUUCACUUUUGUUUAGGAUUAAGUUAAUUCACCUUGAGACAUUAUUCUUUACAGUGUGGCUCUUGAAAUAUGCUACAUUUACACUGAGUAAGAUCUGUUUUGAGCCAGUCUUUGAAGUCUGACCCUUCUGCAUGCUUACCCAGUAUAUGUGCAUACCAGGAGCUUCUGGUAGGCUCUUGGGAACAGCAACUGUUUUCUCACUGUGUGAGUACCUGCUCUUGGUCUUCUCAUCCUUCUGAAAUCUUUUCCAGCCUCAUGUAGUUUCCUCAUAUGGACAGAGCUUAAUUGUCUACCUGUGUGGGAUACUUUAGUGCUCUCUGGAGCUGUCCUGUUUGCCUCUGUCCUAUGAAUGUGGAGCACACUGGUCUUCUUGAGACUCAGUUCUAGUUGCAGGGCUCCAGUUCUCUGCAGCUUCCACAUGAGUGUCAACUCCUCUCCAAUCAACAUACGGCUGCAGGACUUCAAGGCUAAGGCAGCAAGAAAAGAAAUCCUUUCAUAUUCAAGACCGUCGUGCUGCAGCAUUGUAUGGGCCACGUUUCUGUUGCUGAGACAGAAUGCCUUGACAGAAAGGAACUUAGGAAGAUUUGCGCUCCAAGUUCUCUGAUAGAGGUACAAUCUGCCACCAGUUUUCUUCCAGACUACAGCACUCUAUGAAGCAAGAGAAAACAUACUUUUAAUAAAAUCCAGU